This 342-nucleotide long non-coding RNA is filed under the name Vigna radiata. RNAcentral's name for it is "long non-coding RNA (VRAD_LNC013405)". Lineage: Eukaryota; Viridiplantae; Streptophyta; Magnoliopsida; Fabales; Fabaceae. The record is from RNAcentral.
AUAUUUGGUUUUGGGUUAGAUAGGACAUUUAUAUUUUUGCGUGGUGCUUCUAUAAAUUCCUUGUUGUAAAAACCGCAACCAUUAUAGUGCAUUUGCUUCCAAGGUUGGAAGGACACUGGAUGUAGGCAUUGUUGGCCGAACCAGUAUAAAAACCAGUGUUUGAUUUUCUCUAUCCCUGCACUCUUUAAUUCAGUUGAAUUUAUCUGUUUAGCAGUCAACUAUGUUUUUUCUGCUGCAUUGAAUUUUCAUUACUUGCAUUUCAAGGAAAGAUAAAAAGCUUUGAAUUUUCAUACCAAGAUUGUGAAAAGAUUUUGUUUUUAAACUAAUAACAAUUCACCCCCC